AGCUCUCGGAGAGGGCAAAUAUCAUUGGAUUUUCCCGCCAUUUUGUGACUAGGGCUUCGAAGUCUCCAGUUACUUGAUCUCCAGUCCUCCAUCCUCAAUCAAUUCUAUAAUCAAACCAAACGUUCGGGGAAGUUCGGGGAAGACGCACUCUGUAGCCAGACCGUGCCGCCAACCGCGUCGUCUAUUGCUGACGCCUACGUUUAUCCACGACCAGGAUGGGGAGUGCUACAGAAGAUCUUUCUCAGUUUGAUCUUUCAAAAGAGGAAAAGGACAAGCUUGUUGCAGAAGUAAUCCGUUAUGUCCUUUUCAAAACCCACCAAAAUUCAGGGUGCCCAAUUAAGAGGGAUGAGCUUACUCAACUGGUUACUAAAAACUAUCGUCAGCGUGCUCUUCCGUCUCUUGUGAUUAAUGAGGCUAAAGAAAAGAUUUCAAGCAUUUUUGGCUAUGAGAUGAGGGAACUACAAAGAUCCCGUCCUUCAUCAACAAAUCAAGGGCGUGCUUCCCAGCAAAGUGUUGCAGACUCAAAAUCCUAUGUCCUCAUAAGUCAGCUACCUGCCGAUGUUUAUAGAAGAUAUGUUGAGGAUGUAAAUAUGACACAUCUGACUGGUUUCAAUUUCGUCAUACUUAGUAUUGUACAUCUAGCUGGUGGCAAAAUCCCGGAAGAUAGUCUUUGGCAUCAUUUGAAGCGAAUGGGAUUGUCUGAUAGUGAUGAAAUCGAUCCCAUUCUUGGAAACGUUAAGCAGGCAUUGGAGGCACUUGUCCAGCAAAGAUAUUUGCAGAAGGAAAAAGUUAGUGGUCCUGAAGCUAAUACUUUUUAUGAGCUCGCUGAGAGAGCUUUAGAUGAACCAGUUAAUGAGAGGCUUAAAGAAUACAUAUCACAGGUACAUGUGUUGAUCCUAUGAUAGUUAUCCUAUAGUUUACGGUGAUAAAUUAUUUCUAAGUCAAGGAACACGUUUGUGAAGCUGAUUGUGAAGAAAGAUGUCGCCUCUGUGGAUGUUGACUAGUGUUCUACAAUUCUCUAUCAGCUUACAGAGUUGAGGAUUUUGGGGAAUUAGGAUUUUUGUGAAUUGAUUGUUGAAUGGUGAUAUGGAGGACCUGCUUAUCUGCACACCAUUGAGGGAGGUUAACUAACAGGUGGAAGAAGCUAUCCGGCUUGGCCAAUUCUCAGCCUACCAGGAUAUCUUUUUCUGUUUUAAAAUGCCAUCUAUCUAAUUUAAGGGGUCUAUGUUUAUUAUAUAGAUCUAGGCGUCAAAUAUAAUCUUCUCCAUUUCAACUUUAAAUGGAUGGUAUACAUGUAGACUAGGGUAUUAUUGACAACUAAAAAUUUAUCAACAUAUUCCCGUAAAUGCACAUAAAACAUUACUAUCA
RNA transcript from Carya illinoinensis, 1368 nucleotides. It is a transcript of the gene named melanoma-associated antigen 12, with no coding region annotated. The record is from RefSeq and is a predicted model, not a curated record. NCBI's taxonomy places the organism in Eukaryota, Viridiplantae, Streptophyta, Magnoliopsida, Fagales, Juglandaceae. The transcript is spliced from 9 exons.